AAAGUUGACGGAUGCAUCAUUUACGAGAGAUCGUAUUAUAUAUCUCGUUUAUUUUUCUUCUCGUUGUUUAUUAUAACCGUGAAAUCUUAUAAGAUAUAAUAAUAAACUCUUGUUAUUUUUUUUUCUUAUAAUAAUAAUUAUUAUUAUUAUAUGUCUAACUGUACGUAUAUAGGUGUGCAUUAAACACCCGUUAGAAUAUGUGCUCGGUUUCUUUCUUCUUUUUUUUUGGUUUUACGCGAGAUAAAUUAUUUCUAUAUUUGAUUUAAUAUUUAAUAUUGUGUGACGCGCUGCUCGUGCGAAAAAGAAACGACAUAUAUAUAUAUAUAUAUAUUUUUAACAAAAUAAAUAUUUUCUUUCUAUUGCGAAGAAAGAAAAAAAAAAAAGAUAAUACAAUAUUAUAUUGUUUUUUUUUUUUUUAAUAGCAACGUGUUGUGUGUUUUCUAAUUUAAAGAUUAAAUCAUAGAAUCAUGUAUUCCCGACGACGCAUCUUCUGCUAUGUAUCGGAGUAAAAAUUUGAAAUACGCGCUAAACGAUAGCGUUGUGUCACGUGACGGUGCGGCUUAUUGACCAAGCCGUACACUAACGCGAAUGGUCAAUUUUGGUCACGUGACUAGUGGUAACGUCAAGUCGGGUUACCGUCUGCUUUUCGAUCGAACGGAUAUCUCAACGGGCCUUCGAAGGACAAAGAAUUCGUGAAUAAGAGCUUGAAACGUUUACACCUUAUCUAAUAUAUCUUACUUUGUCACAAUUUAAUUGUGCUCGUUUUAUUAUACGAAAAAGAAAAAAAAGAAGAAGAAGAAGACAAAAAAAUCAUUAAAAAGAAACAAUAAUAAUAGAUUCGUUUUGAGAAAAGAAGAAAGAAGAAAAAAAUAAAAUAAAUAAAAAUAAAAAUAAAUCAGCUGUGCGUGCGUGUGGGAAUAAUUUUCGCGCGAUUACGAUCAUUUUGACAGUUCUCAACGUUUAUUCAGUUUGACAGUGUCAUUUACGAAAUAGUCAAGAAUUUAAAUGUUUGUUACAAAAGUCGAUUAUUUCGUAGAAGAAUAAUUCAUUUUCUAUUCAGUAUUAUUUUAAAGUGUCAUCUCGAAAUAAAUCAAUUAACACGUAGUGAUGAUGAUGAUGAUGAUGAUGAUGAUUAAACAUGGUUAAGUAAAACUAAUUAACGUUGUCAAGAUAUUAUUAAUUAUUAAAACGGAAUAUUGAGAUUCGUUGAGAAAGGAUAGAAGAUAAAGUUCUUUUUCCUUUUCUUAUUCUUCUUUGUCUUUGUCUUCGUCGUCGUCGUCGUCGUCGUAUUAAACGUCAACGUCAACGUCUCAGUGAUUUAGUAUUAUUUAUUGGAAUUUGAUCGUCGAAUCGCAGGUCGAAUUUCUCUCGUUUGUUAUUAACGACGAUCGGUUAAUUGAUUAUGAUGUACAAGAUGAACUACAUCGGGAAAUUUAUUAGUAAUUUUCGCGACUUUUACAAUGAAAUCAAUGCGGCAACGUUAACUGGUGCAAUUGACGUCGUUGUCGUCGAACAAGCUGACGGAUCUUUCACCUGUUCACCCUUUCACGUUCGUUUCGGCAAACUCGGUGUACUCCGUUCCAGAGAAAAAGUGGUGGACAUUGAAAUCAAUGGAGAACCAAGACAAAUUCAUAUGAAAUUGGGAGACUCCGGUGAAGCUUUCUUUGUCGAAGAAGUUAGUUCCAAUGGUUCGCCAACCGAUACAGAAAUUCCACCACAUCUGGCAUGUUCGCCAAUUCCAGACGACAAUUGUUUUCCAUCGGCUGGAUUUAAUCCUUUAUCAGAUCUUCCUCAAGAACAGAGGGACAAGAUACUCAUAGAUUCGGUUUUGUCGAUAGAGAGAGAAAAAUGGGAACAAAUGUCUGCCUUGCCACCCGAAGAAAGAGAAAAAUUUUUGAUAGAACAAUUUGCCGAUCUUCCAGCAGAACAUCGCGACAAAUGGCUUCAAAUAGCAUCAUUGACGCUCGAAGAAAGAGACGAAAUGUUUAAACAAAGUUUCGGUACUAUUUCUACUUUGCAAAAACAACAAAUGAUACGAGAACAAUAUUCCGCUUUGAAAUUGGAGGAAAAGGAAAGAUUGUUUAAAGAAAACUUUCCUGAACUUCCUGCCGAACAAAGGCAUAAGUUUGAGAAGGCACUGUUGAGCGACUGGAAACAAAAGGAUGAUGAAAAAUGGAAUAAUAAAUCUAAUGCGUUGAAGAAUAACGAAGAAGAAAUUUUUGACAUGGAAGGUAUCAAUGAUGACGAUGAAUCCCAACCUAUAGCAUCCAUACCUAAAUCAUUCGUAGCUGUUACAUCCGAGGACAAGAUACGUAAAAUCAGCGUUGUAAAGAAUGAUUUUAUACCUAUAUCUAACGACAUUCAGGAUAAUGAAAAAGGAAAAUCAAGUUACGAAUCUAAUAAUUCGUGCGUUAUCAAGCAGAGAAUUCGUAAAAUUGGUGUUGUUAGUAAUGAUUUUAUUCCAAUAAUGGAUGAUUCGCAAAGAAGCAGUAAAGAAAAGUCAAGCGACGAGUCUAAUUCGUCUUCUAAUAAAAAAUUGUCGAGAGAUGAGACUGGGGAGGAAUCUAAAAUUAAUAAUUCCACUAAGAGAAAGAGAAAGAGGAAGAGCAUCAUGAGGAAGAAGGGUUCGCAGAGAAAAACUAGUAACGGUAGCAGUAGCCAAACCGAAAUGAGUGAAACUGACAUCAAUGCUACGGAAGAAUCUCCUCACAGUGAAUCUAUUUUGAAAGGACCAAGUCCGGUAAUAGAAAUCGACUCGAAGAAGGACUCCCCAGGUAUUAUAACUUCAGCGGAAGAAAUUUUGGAGAAACGUCCAGAAACUGACUUCCAUUUCUUCAGCGAUACAGAAAUAACUAAGAACCAAGAUUCUAGGCCAUGUUCACCAAUACAAUCAGAUACAGAAUUUGAAAUGCGUAAAAUCACGCAAGAGGGUUGUGAACAAGAAGAUGAUAAGGCUCAUCAACAGAGUUGGAAAUGGGGAGAAUUGCCUAACUUGCCACCUGAAUCCAAUCAUCCGUCUCAUAGGAAUUCAGUUAAUUCUUCGGUUGUAAUUCCCCAAUCUAAUGAUACAGAGGCACAUCGAUCAAUGCUCAGUGGCAUGUUCUCAUUUAUGAAGAAGACCUCUCGUGUGAGGCAUAAUCCAGAAUCUGAAGGAAUUUAUCUUAGCGAUUUAAAUUCCGAUGAAUUGGAUCCUGAAGUUGCAGCUCUUUAUUUUCCCUCUUCUCAUCGUGGAGCAACUGUGGUAAAAGAUGCAAAAGUAGUUGACGAAGAAGAUACCGAAUCCGGUAAUGGACCAAGUAUUCCGCAAAGUCCUAACAGCGUUGAAGGAGCUAUCGGUGGUCCAAAAUCGUUAGAUAGCGAUUUUGAAGAACCCAAAAAUUCUGUCUUCGAUAGUAAUUUUGAAAUUAGUCUUUCCUUGUGCGGUGGUUUGGAUACCGAAAGUGGCCCAUCGAAAGAAGCUUUCCACCAAAAUUUACUUCAUUAUGAAGAUAUUUGUUCCGAUCCGAAAUUAUACGAUAAUCCUAAUUUGGUGGUUAAAAUCAAUAACAAGUAUUAUAAUUGGGCUACUGCCUGUCCAAUUGUCAUGACAUAUGCUGUCUUUCAAAGACAUUUACCACAAAAUACUAUUGAAAAUUUGUACGCCCAAUGUAUGCCAUUACUGAUGCACGGAGAUAAAAAACAGUCGAGUACUGGAAAGGCUGAAGGUCGUAGUGGUUACAGUUCAUGGUUUUCAUGGGGUAGAUCUAACACUCAACCUAAAAAAUCUCAGGAAAUAAGUCAAGUUGAUGGACCACCCCUAAUUGGAGGAGAACAUUCUGAACAAGCAAUUGAGUGUAAGGAAACGAUUGUAAUAAGAGAAAUGCCUACAGAAAGUAAUAUUGAUCUCAAGACUGAUCCAAUUUCAACGAUUAUUUCUGUAACUAUGGAAACACAUGAAUUAAGGAAUACACCUACUGAUAGUUUGAUCAUGAAGACUGAAAAAUCAUGCGAAAGAGAAGGCGAAGGAUAUAGCGGUAGUGAAGAUUCAGAUAGUAAUCAAAACGAUAUGCAAGGUGUUAAAAUACCAAUUGAAAGAAGACUCUAUUACGAAUCUACCGAGAAGUAUAGAAAAACUUUAAGAUUGUCGUCUGAACAAAUAGCAAGUUUGAAUUUAAAAGAGGGCCCUAAUGAGGUAGUGUUUAGUGUUACAACGGCUUAUCAAGGUACUACUCGUUGUAAAUGUCAUAUCUAUAGAUGGAGAUGGGAUGAUAAAAUUGUAAUCUCAGACAUCGAUGGCACUAUUACCAAGUCCGAUGUUCUGGGCCACAUUUUACCAAUAGUCGGAAAGGAUUGGGCUCAGUCCGGGGUUGCUCAAUUAUUUACCAAGAUUAAGAACAAUGGUUAUAAAUUAUUGUAUCUUUCGGCUAGAGCAAUAGGUCAAGCUAAAGUAACAAGGGAAUAUUUGAAGAGUAUAAGGCAAGGAGAUUUGUCGCUUCCCGAGGGUCCUUUGCUUUUAAAUCCAACCAGUUUAAUAUCUGCAUUCCAUCGUGAAGUUAUCGAAAAGAAACCAGAAGAAUUUAAAAUAUCUUGUCUAAGUGAUAUUCAAGCACUAUUUCCAGAAGGCUCUAAACCAUUCUAUGCUGGCUAUGGUAACCGUAUUAAUGAUGUUUGGGCUUAUAGAGCUGUAGGCAUUCCUAUUAUGAGAAUUUUUACCAUAAACCAUAGAGGAGAACUGAAACACGAGUUGACGCAAACAUUCCAAUCAUCCUACGCGUGUCAGUGCGAUAUCGUCAAUGAGUUGUUUCCACCACUGCCCACGUCAAACGUCCAAUGAUGAUGACACAACCAUUUAGAUAGAAACGUAGAAAUGUAGGAUUAUUAGCGAAAUAGUUAGCUAAAUUGAAAAUGAGCACGAUGAAUUAAUUUUAAUCGUUGAGUCGUUAUAUAAUUAAUGGUAGCACAUAUAAAAUAUAUAAUAUUAUAUUAUGGGUAUAUAACUAUAUAGAAUAUAUACCAUUAAUUAAAGUCAAGUCAAAUCCCAGGGAAAAUUAAUUGCAUGAGAUUCUGUUGCAUAUAUAGAGUUGUUUUUAUAUAUAUAUAUAUAUAUAUACUUUAUUUAUUUGUUAUAAGAGUAUUUAUACGAGCAGAAAGAAAAAUCAGUAUUUUAAAUAUGAUGUAUAUUAAUUCUGCCAGUGUUUCUGUCAAAUGCAGAAAAUAUCGUUUCUCUUGUAUUAUAUACUUCCAAUAGGAGUUUAUAUUUCAAUUGUGAAAGAGCAUAUACAUCACAUUAUUUAUUUAGAAGUAUUGUGUCAUUGUAUUUUAAGGUAUUUUGGUUGUGCUACACUUGGUAUCGUCUUAUGAUUUCUAGGAUAUUCAAAUAUGAGCGUCAUAGUAGAUCAUCUAUUCCCAGCUUGGCGAGAGGAAGCUGCAGAUGAGUUCAGUAACUUUGCUUACUGGAGAGAACCGAUUCCUGAAUUACCUAAGCUCGAGGCCCAUUUUAUGCAAACCCAAGCAGUUUAAACGAAUAAUCUUUUCUUACCGGAGCAAUAAUAUUCGACUCGUAAAAAGAAAAAAAAAAAAAAA
This 5562-nucleotide unclassified non-coding RNA is filed under the name Polistes canadensis. RNAcentral's name for it is "phosphatidate phosphatase LPIN3, transcript variant X2". The record is from RNAcentral. Lineage: Eukaryota; Metazoa; Arthropoda; Insecta; Hymenoptera; Vespidae.